This 349-nucleotide long non-coding RNA is filed under the name Monodelphis domestica (gray short-tailed opossum). Its description in RNAcentral is "lncRNA (ENSMODG00000035118.2)". The record is from RNAcentral. Lineage: Eukaryota; Metazoa; Chordata; Mammalia; Didelphimorphia; Didelphidae.
GCCCAAGGACAUCAUCAGAGGACAUUGGUAGCUUUGCAGUAACCUGCCUUGGUUGCUUACAUGUUCCCUGACCUACAUGUUUGCAAAUCCACAUAAUGUUUCUUGGUCAUGCAGGUUCCUAUAAAUGAUGUCUGUUCGCAGAAGACUGAAGCCCCAGUUUCAACUAGCUUUUACAAGAAUUGAGGGGAUUGGAGCAGCAAAUGGUGAUGGACUUGUGGAAAGGAAAACUAAACCAAGUUCUGGACUUUCUGCUACUGAAUUCGAACCAACAGCAGUUGAAGUGUUAGAGAGAGAAGAUAUUAAGACACCCAACCCUGUGAGAAGCAAGUCCUGCUCAGUGGAGAAGUGA